UGGGGAAUUUUGGACAAUGGGCGAAAGCCUGAUCCAGCAAUGCCGCGUGUGUGAAGAAGGCCUUCGGGUUGUAAAGCACUUUUGUCCGGAAAGAAAUCCUUGGCUCUAAUACAGUCGGGGGAUGACGGUACCGGAAGAAUAAGCACCGGCUAACUACGUGCCAGCAGCCGCGGUAAUACGUAGGGUGCAAGCGUUAAUCGGAAUUACUGGGCGUAAAGCGUGCGCAGGCGGUUUGCUAAGACCGAUGCGAAAUCCCCGGGCUCAACCUGGGAACUGCAUUGGUGACUGGCAGGCUAGAGUAUGGCAGAGGGGGGUAGAAUUCCACGUGUAGCAGUGAAAUGCGUAGAGAUGUGGAGGAAUACCGAUGGCGAAGGCAGCCCCCUGGGCCAAUACUGACGCUCAUGCACGAAAGCGUGGGGAGCAAACAGGAUUAGAUACCCUGGUAGUCCACGCCCUAAACGAUGUCAACUAGGUUGUUGGGGAUUCAUUUCCUUAGUAACGUAGCUAACGCGUGAAGUUGACCGCCUGGGGAGUAACGGUCGCAAGAUUAAAACUUAAAUGAAUUGACGGGGUCAUAGCUGUUUCCUG
RNAcentral lists this ribosomal RNA (588 nucleotides) under uncultured bacterium. Its description in RNAcentral is "partial 16S ribosomal RNA". It matches the Rfam family "Bacterial small subunit ribosomal RNA", at positions 355 to 1376 of the family's 1533-position model. The record is from RNAcentral.